Molecule: unclassified non-coding RNA, 357 nt
Filed under: soil metagenome
Description: partial contains 5.8S ribosomal RNA, internal transcribed spacer 2, and large subunit ribosomal RNA
Rfam family: 5.8S ribosomal RNA (bases 1-120)
Source: RNAcentral
GAUGAAGAACGUAGCGAAAUGCGAUAAGUAAUGUGAAUUGCAGAAUUCAGUGAAUCAUCGAAUCUUCGAACGCACAUUGCGCCCGCUGGUAUUCCGGCGGGCAUGCCUGUUCGAGCGUCAUUUCAACCCUCAAGCUCUCCGGAGUUUGGUGUUGGGGCGCCUGGGGCUUUUCGACCUCAGGGCCCUCAAGUCCAUCGGCGGGACCGCCAGGACACUGAGCGCAGUAGUAUUAUUUCGCUCGGUAGGAUCUUCCACGGCGGGUCGAUCUGGCCGCUAAACCCCCCAAUUCUCACCAAAGGUUGACCUCGGAUCAGGUAGGAAUACCCGCUGAACUUAAGCAUAUCAAUAAGCGGAGGA